This 619-nucleotide ribosomal RNA is filed under the name Flavobacterium sp. WB4.4-3. RNAcentral describes it as "bacterial SSU rRNA". It matches the Rfam family "Bacterial small subunit ribosomal RNA", at positions 13 to 635 of the family's 1533-position model. The record is from RNAcentral. Lineage: Bacteria; Pseudomonadati; Bacteroidota; Flavobacteriia; Flavobacteriales; Flavobacteriaceae.
UUGAUCCUGGCUCAGGAUGAACGCUAGCGGCAGGCUUAACACAUGCAAGUCGAGGGGUAGAGUAGCAAUACUUGAGACCGGCGCACGGGUGCGUAACGCGUAUGCAAUCUACCUUUUACAGAGGGAUAGCCCAGAGAAAUUUGGAUUAAUACCUCAUAGUAUUGUGAAGUGGCAUCACUUUAUAAUUAAAGUCACAACGGUAAAAGAUGAGCAUGCGUCCCAUUAGCUAGUUGGUAAGGUAACGGCUUACCAAGGCUACGAUGGGUAGGGGUCCUGAGAGGGAGAUCCCCCACACUGGUACUGAGACACGGACCAGACUCCUACGGGAGGCAGCAGUGAGGAAUAUUGGACAAUGGGCGCAAGCCUGAUCCAGCCAUGCCGCGUGCAGGAUGACGGUCCUAUGGAUUGUAAACUGCUUUUAUACGAGAAGAAACACUACUUCGUGAAGUAGCUUGACGGUAUCGUAAGAAUAAGGAUCGGCUAACUCCGUGCCAGCAGCCGCGGUAAUACGGAGGAUCCAAGCGUUAUCCGGAAUCAUUGGGUUUAAAGGGUCCGUAGGCGGUUUAGUAAGUCAGUGGUGAAAGCCCAUCGCUCAACGGUGGAACGGCCAUUGAUACUG